RNAcentral lists this ribosomal RNA (253 nucleotides) under uncultured bacterium. Its description in RNAcentral is "partial 16S ribosomal RNA". It matches the Rfam family "Bacterial small subunit ribosomal RNA", at positions 524 to 776 of the family's 1533-position model. The record is from RNAcentral.
UACGGAGGGUGCAAGCGUUGUUCGGAAUUACUGGGCGUAAAGGGCGCGUAGGCGGUGCAGUAAGUCAGGUGUGAAAGCCCCGGGCUCAACCCAGGAAGUGCAUUUGAAACUGCUGUACUUGAGUAUGGGAGAGGAGAGUGGAAGUCCCAGUGUAGAGGUGAAAUUCGUAGAUAUUGGGAGGAACACCCGUGGCGAAGGCGACUCUCUGGACCAAUACUGACGCUGAGGCGCGAAAGCGUGGGGAGCAAACAGG